GCCAGUGCAUGGCCAGCGAGAAGCCGAAGAGGCUCCCGGGGUCCCCGGUUUUCUCGAUCACAUUGUCCUCGCGGGUGUCCAAGUUGAAGGCGGCGCCGAGCCGGGGCAGGAGCCCCGCCGACAGAUGAGAAAACUGAAGCUCAGCCUUGCCCCGGAGCAUCCAGGGAUCUGUGCCCAGCUUAAAAGAAGAAUUUGGGGGAGAAGUCACACUGGCGUAGGCAACUUAAAACUUGGUUUCCAGGUGUUCUGAGACUCAAAAGCCACUCCACAGUAAAGGAUGCAUUAUUUAAAGUGGCACCCACGAGCUAAGGAGCCCCUCUUUUCUGCCCUCAAAUUCCUAGGACUAGUUGGAAGGAAAACCUCCCCGCAGAGAGAGCUCUGAGCUCUGUGUGGGUGGCCUAAAGGCUCCAGCCUCCAGGACGUGGGGUGGGGCUUCCAGUGAAGUGUGAACCCCUGGGGUAACUUUAUCCAGGAGGAGUUCUUAACCAGGGGAGAGAGAAUUCAGGUUACUAUGAAUUUGGAUGACAAAAAAUUUUUACACUUUUAUUUUCACUAAUCCUCUAACUGACAUUUAGCAUUUCCUUCCGUUAUGAAUGUAGGCAACACCACAGUGGCAGUAGGUAUCUAUGACUUAGUCUCCUGUAGAACCCAUAGGUUGUUUACAUCACAUACACUUGUUGCAAAUAUCUUAAAUUACAGUAGUUAUUAGAUAAAACUCUCAGCUAGAUCUUAUUAUAUAAUGUCAAUUUAAAAGUAUGUAUCAUAUUGCUUAAACAUUGUGUUAACUAUAUUUUAAUAUAAUUGGCUUCCUUUGUAA
This is a long non-coding RNA of Camelus dromedarius (Arabian camel), 817 nucleotides long. RefSeq lists it as uncharacterized. The transcript has 2 exons. The record is from RefSeq and is a predicted model, not a curated record. NCBI's taxonomy places the organism in Eukaryota, Metazoa, Chordata, Mammalia, Artiodactyla, Camelidae.